This 506-nucleotide ribosomal RNA is filed under the name uncultured bacterium. RNAcentral's name for it is "partial 16S ribosomal RNA". It matches the Rfam family "Bacterial small subunit ribosomal RNA", at positions 29 to 523 of the family's 1533-position model. The record is from RNAcentral.
AGUGAACGCUGGCGGUAGGCCUAACACAUGCAAGUCGAACGGCAGCACAGGAGAGCUUGCUCUCUGGGUGGCGAGUGGCGGACGGGUGAGGAAUACAUCGGAAUCUACUUUUUCGUGGGGGAUAACGUAGGGAAACUUACGCUAAUACCGCAUACGACCUACGGGUGAAAGCAGGGGAUCUUCGGACCUUGCGCGAUUGAUUGAGCCGAUGUCGGAUUAGCUAGUUGGCGGGGUAAAGGCCCACCAAGGCGACGAUCCGUAGCUGGUCUGAGAGGAUGAUCAGCCACACUGGAACUGAGACACGGUCCAGACUCCUACGGGAGGCAGCAGUGGGGAAUAUUGGACAAUGGGCGCAAGCCUGAUCCAGCCAUACCGCGCGGGUGAAGAAGGCCUUCGGGUUGUAAAGCCCUUUUGUUGGGAAAGAAAUCCAGCUGGCUAAUACCCGGUUGGGAUGACGGUACCCAAAGAAUAAGCACCGGCUAACUUCGUGCCAGCCGCCGCCGUAA